CUUCCGUGGUGAACCUGCGGAAAGGUCGUACUGCGGGCUCGCGGACACCUCCCACCCUUGUCUCUAUACACCUGUUGCUUUGGCGGGCCCACCGGGGCCACCUGGU
RNAcentral lists this ribosomal RNA (106 nucleotides) under Penicillium sp. J1. Its description in RNAcentral is "partial 18S ribosomal RNA". Lineage: Eukaryota; Fungi; Ascomycota; Eurotiomycetes; Eurotiales; Aspergillaceae. The record is from RNAcentral.